Toxotes jaculatrix (banded archerfish) is the source of this 695-nucleotide long non-coding RNA. RefSeq lists it as uncharacterized. The record is from RefSeq and is a predicted model, not a curated record. NCBI's taxonomy places the organism in Eukaryota, Metazoa, Chordata, Actinopteri, Toxotidae. The transcript has 3 exons.
CAGCAGUGCCAAAGUGGGCAGGCGGACCGAGGCAAACACAGCACAGGGCAGAGCAGAGGGCGAUCCAAAGGCUGGCGAAUUGAUUAUGUAGCUGUGUGUGAGCAGACGUCCCUCUGUCACCCUGUGUACGGACAGACGCACUCACGCCAGUAGGAGGGGAUUGUGGGAAGGGGGUGUAGCUCUCAGAGGGUGUGCUCUACUCCUCUCUUUUCCCUUCUUCCCGCCAUCACGGCCCUCUUCUCCUCCAGUCCUCCGGCCCAGCCCGCCGCUCACAUACAGGCUCCAGGAGUAUUACCUUUGAGGAUCUUUGCUGCUGAAGCAACAUGGAUGCUGUCCUUGGGGCUGAGGUAGUAGAUUGAAUAGUUGUGGGGUUGUGUAACCUCUUUUUGAGAUAACUAUACAAUCUACUGUCUUUCCCAAGGAGACAGCUGAGUCAGCCACUCGCCGACUGUCAUCUCCAGAUGGGCAAUCAUGCUGUCCAAUCAAAACAUAAGCUUGCAGCAAAUGAAAAUAAUGCAUUAUGACAAUUUUUUUUUUUUUUUUUUUUUGCUAGAGCAGGUAAAUUAGCUGUCAUGUUCCCAAACAGGUGAACGUGUGGUGUGCUUGAUUUGGGCUCUGUCAGGGUGAGGUAGUAGGUUGUAUAGUUUGGUGGGUGGGACUGCACCCUGCUCAGGUGAUAACUAUACAGUCUAUUG